UAGGGAAUCUUCCACAAUGGGCGCAAGCCUGAUGGAGCAACGCCGCGUGUGUGAUGAAGGGUUUCGGCUCGUAAAACACUGUUAUAAGAGAUGAACGUCAGUGAGAGUAACUGUCCAUUGAGUGACGGUAUCUUAUCAGAAAGGGACGGCUAAAUACGUGCCAG
This 164-nucleotide ribosomal RNA is filed under the name uncultured bacterium. RNAcentral describes it as "partial 16S rRNA". It matches the Rfam family "Bacterial small subunit ribosomal RNA", at positions 355 to 511 of the family's 1533-position model. The record is from RNAcentral.